RNAcentral lists this ribosomal RNA (481 nucleotides) under uncultured bacterium. RNAcentral's name for it is "bacterial SSU rRNA". It matches the Rfam family "Bacterial small subunit ribosomal RNA", at positions 501 to 978 of the family's 1533-position model. The record is from RNAcentral.
CUACGUGCCAGCAGCCGCGGUAAUACGUAGGGCGCGAGCGUUGUCCGGAAUUAUUGGGCGUAAAGAGCUUGUAGGCGGUUUGUCGCGUCUGCUGUGAAAGGCCGGAGCUUAACUCCGUGUAUUGCAGUGGGUACGGGCAGACUAGAGUGCAGUAGGGGAGACUGGAAUUCCUGGUGUAGCGGUGGAAUGCGCAGAUAUCAGGAGGAACACCGAUGGCGAAGGCAGGUCUCUGGGCUGUAACUGACGCUGAGAAGCGAAAGCAUGGGGAGCGAACAGGAUUAGAUACCCUGGUAGUCCAUGCCGUAAACGUUGGGCACUAGGUGUGGGGAACAUUCCACGUUUUCCGCGCCGUAGCUAACGCAUUAAGUGCCCCGCCUGGGGAGUACGGCCGCAAGGCUAAAACUCAAAGAAAUUGACGGGGGCCCGCACAAGCGGCGGAGCAUGCGGAUUAAUUCGAUGCAACGCGAAGAACCUUACCAAG